AGUUAGUGGCGGACGGGUGAGUAACACGUGGGAACGUGCGUUUUGGUUGAAUAACUCAGGGAAACUUGUGCUAAUACCGAAUGUGCCCUUCGGGGGAAAGAUUUAUCCAUUAGAGCGGCCCGCGUCUGAUUAGCUAGUUGGUGAGGUAAAGGCUCACCAAGGCGGAUCAGUAGCUGGUCUGAGAGGAUGAUCAGCCACAUUGGGACUGAGACACGGCCCAAACCUACGGGAGGCAGCAGUGGGGAAUCUUGCGCAAUGGGCGAAAGCCUGACGCAGCCAUCGCGUGAAUGAUGAAGGUCUUAGGAUUGUAAAAUUCUUUCACCGGGGACGAUAAUGACUACCCGGAGAAGAAGCCCCGGCUAACUUCGUGCCAGCAGCCGCGGUAAUACGAAGGGGUAGCGUUGCUCGGAAUUACUGGGCGUAAAGGGAGCGUAGGCGGACAUUUAAGUCAGGGGAAAUCCCGGGGCUCAACCUCGGAAUUGCCUUUGAUACUGGGUGUCUUGAGUAUGAGAGGUAUGUGGAAUUCCGAGUGUAGAGGUGAAAUUCGUAGAUAUUCGGAAGAACACCAGUCGAAGGCGACAUACUGGCUCAUUACUGACGCUGAGGCUCGAAAGCGUGGGGAGCAAACGAUUAGAUACCCUGGUAGUCCACGCCGUAAACGAUGAUUGCUAGUUGUCGGGAUGCAU
RNAcentral lists this ribosomal RNA (686 nucleotides) under uncultured bacterium. RNAcentral's name for it is "bacterial SSU rRNA". It matches the Rfam family "Bacterial small subunit ribosomal RNA", at positions 90 to 833 of the family's 1533-position model. The record is from RNAcentral.